Molecule: ribosomal RNA, 406 nt
Filed under: uncultured bacterium
Lineage: Bacteria
Description: partial 16S ribosomal RNA
Rfam family: Bacterial small subunit ribosomal RNA
Source: RNAcentral
AUUGAACGCUGGCGGCAGGCCUAACACAUGCAAGUCGAACGAGUGGCGGACGGGUGAGUAAUGUCUGGGAAACUGCCCGAUGGAGGGGGAUAACUACUGGAAACGGUAGAUAAUACCGCAUACCAUCGGAUGUUCCCAGAUGGGAUUAGCUAGUAGGUGGGGUAAAGGGUCAACUAGGCGACGAUCCCUAGCUGGUCUGAGAGGAUGACCAGCCAAACGGGACCUGAGACACGGUCCAGACGCAUACGGGAGGCAGCAGUGGGGAAUAGUGCACAAUGGGCGCAAGCCUGAUGCAGCCAUGCAGCGUGUAUGAAGAAGGCCUUCGGGUUGUAAAGUACUUUCAGCGAGGAGGCGUUACUCGCAGAAGAAGCACCGGCUAACUCCGUGCCAGCCGCCGCGGUAAUUC